RNAcentral lists this ribosomal RNA (2912 nucleotides) under Staphylococcus aureus. RNAcentral describes it as "partial 23S ribosomal RNA". It matches the Rfam family "Bacterial large subunit ribosomal RNA". The record is from RNAcentral. Lineage: Bacteria; Bacillati; Bacillota; Bacilli; Caryophanales; Staphylococcaceae.
UAAGGGCGCACGGUGGAUGCCUUGGCACUAGAAGCCGAUGAAGGACGUUACUAACGACGAUAUGCUUUGGGGAGCUGUAAGUAAGCUUUGAUCCAGAGAUUUCCGAAUGGGGAAACCCAGCAUGAGUUAUGUCAUGUUAUCGAUAUGUGAAUACAUAGCAUAUCAGAAGGCACACCCGGAGAACUGAAACAUCUUAGUACCCGGAGGAAGAGAAAGAAAAUUCGAUUCCCUUAGUAGCGGCGAGCGAAACGGGAAGAGCCCAAACCAACAAGCUUGCUUGUUGGGGUUGUAGGACACUCUAUACGGAGUUACAAAGGACGACAUUAGACGAAUCAUCUGGAAAGAUGAAUCAAAGAAGGUAAUAAUCCUGUAGUCGAAAAUGUUGUCUCUCUUGAGUGGAUCCUGAGUACGACGGAGCACGUGAAAUUCCGUCGGAAUCUGGGAGGACCAUCUCCUAAGGCUAAAUACUCUCUAGUGACCGAUAGUGAACCAGUACCGUGAGGGAAAGGUGAAAAGCACCCCGGAAGGGGAGUGAAAUAGAACCUGAAACCGUGUGCUUACAAGUAGUCAGAGCCCGUUAAUGGGUGAUGGCGUGCCUUUUGUAGAAUGAACCGGCGAGUUACGAUUUGAUGCAAGGUUAAGCAGUAAAUGUGGAGCCGUAGCGAAAGCGAGUCUGAAUAGGGCGUUUAGUAUUUGGUCGUAGACCCGAAACCAGGUGAUCUACCCUUGGUCAGGUUGAAGUUCAGGUAACACUGAAUGGAGGACCGAACCGACUUACGUUGAAAAGUGAGCGGAUGAACUGAGGGUAGCGGAGAAAUUCCAAUCGAACCUGGAGAUAGCUGGUUCUCUCCGAAAUAGCUUUAGGGCUAGCCUCAAGUGAUGAUUAUUGGAGGUAGAGCACUGUUUGGACGAGGGGCCCCUCUCGGGUUACCGAAUUCAGACAAACUCCGAAUGCCAAUUAAUUUAACUUGGGAGUCAGAACAUGGGUGAUAAGGUCCGUGUUCGAAAGGGAAACAGCCCAGACCACCAGCUAAGGUCCCAAAAUAUAUGUUAAGUGGAAAAGGAUGUGGCGUUGCCCAGACAACUAGGAUGUUGGCUUAGAAGCAGCCAUCAUUUAAAGAGUGCGUAAUAGCUCACUAGUCGAGUGACACUGCGCCGAAAAUGUACCGGGGCUAAACAUAUUACCGAAGCUGUGGAUUGUCCUUUGGACAAUGGUAGGAGAGCGUUCUAAGGGCGUUGAAGCAUGAUCGUAAGGACAUGUGGAGCGCUUAGAAGUGAGAAUGCCGGUGUGAGUAGCGAAAGACGGGUGAGAAUCCCGUCCACCGAUUGACUAAGGUUUCCAGAGGAAGGCUCGUCCGCUCUGGGUUAGUCGGGUCCUAAGCUGAGGCCGACAGGCGUAGGCGAUGGAUAACAGGUUGAUAUUCCUGUACCACCUAUAAUCGUUUUAAUCGAUGGGGGGACGCAGUAGGAUAGGCGAAGCGUGCGAUUGGAUUGCACGUCUAAGCAGUAAGGCUGGGUAUUAGGCAAAUCCGGUACUCGUUAAGGCUGAGCUGUGAUGGGGAGAAGACAUUGUGUCUUCGAGUCGUUGAUUUCACACUGCCGAGAAAAGCCUCUAGAUAGAAAAUAGGUGCCCGUACCGCAAACCGACACAGGUAGUCAAGAUGAGAAUUCUAAGGUGAGCGAGCGAACUCUCGUUAAGGAACUCGGCAAAAUGACCCCGUAACUUCGGGAGAAGGGGUGCUCUUUAGGGUUAACGCCCAGAAGAGCCGCAGUGAAUAGGCCCAAGCGACUGUUUAUCAAAAACACAGGUCUCUGCUAAACCGUAAGGUGAUGUAUAGGGGCUGACGCCUGCCCGGUGCUGGAAGGUUAAGAGGAGUGGUUAGCUUCUGCGAAGCUACGAAUCGAAGCCCCAGUAAACGGCGGCCGUAACUAUAACGGUCCUAAGGUAGCGAAAUUCCUUGUCGGGUAAGUUCCGACCCGCACGAAAGGCGUAACGAUUUGGGCACUGUCUCAACGAGAGACUCGGUGAAAUCAUAGUACCUGUGAAGAUGCAGGUUACCCGCGACAGGACGGAAAGACCCCGUGGAGCUUUACUGUAGCCUGAUAUUGAAAUUCGGCACAGCUUGUACAGGAUAGGUAGGAGCCUUUGAAACGUGAGCGCUAGCUUACGUGGAGGCGCUGGUGGGAUACUACCCUAGCUGUGUUGGCUUUCUAACCCGCACCACUUAUCGUGGUGGGAGACAGUGUCAGGCGGGCAGUUUGACUGGGGCGGUCGCCUCCUAAAAGGUAACGGAGGCGCUCAAAGGUUCCCUCAGAAUGGUUGGAAAUCAUUCAUAGAGUGUAAAGGCAUAAGGGAGCUUGACUGCGAGACCUACAAGUCGAGCAGGGUCGAAAGACGGACUUAGUGAUCCGGUGGUUCCGCAUGGAAGGGCCAUCGCUCAACGGAUAAAAGCUACCCCGGGGAUAACAGGCUUAUCUCCCCCAAGAGUUCACAUCGACGGGGAGGUUUGGCACCUCGAUGUCGGCUCAUCGCAUCCUGGGGCUGUAGUCGGUCCCAAGGGUUGGGCUGUUCGCCCAUUAAAGCGGUACGCGAGCUGGGUUCAGAACGUCGUGAGACAGUUCGGUCCCUAUCCGUCGUGGGCGUAGGAAAUUUGAGAGGAGCUGUCCUUAGUACGAGAGGACCGGGAUGGACAUACCUCUGGUGUACCAGUUGUCGUGCCAACGGCAUAGCUGGGUAGCUAUGUGUGGACGGGAUAAGUGCUGAAAGCAUCUAAGCAUGAAGCCCCCCUCAAGAUGAGAUUUCCCAACUUCGGUUAUAAGAUCCCUCAAAGAUGAUGAGGUUAAUAGGUUCGAGGUGGAAGCAUGGUGACAUGUGGAGCUGACGAAUACUAAUCGAUCGAAGACUUAAUCAA